This 71-nucleotide transfer RNA is filed under the name Camelus bactrianus (Bactrian camel). It matches the Rfam family "tRNA". Rfam says of the family: Transfer RNA (tRNA) molecules are approximately 80 nucleotides in length. Their secondary structure includes four short double-helical elements and three loops (D, anti-codon, and T loops). Lineage: Eukaryota; Metazoa; Chordata; Mammalia; Artiodactyla; Camelidae. RNAcentral also lists the same sequence under 1 other name. The record is from Rfam by way of RNAcentral.
GAGGGUAGAGCUCAGUGGUAGAGCACGUGCUUAUAUGCACGAGGUCCUGGGUUCAAUCCCCAGUACCUCCA